UAUGUACUCCUUCCGUCCUGAAAUACUUGUCGGAGAAUGCAUAAAAAUGUAUGUACCUAGAACUAAAAUACGUCUAGAUACAUCCAUUCCUCCGACAAGUAUUUCCGGACGGAGGGAGUACAUA
This is a non-coding RNA of Triticum aestivum (bread wheat), 124 nucleotides long. NCBI's taxonomy places the organism in Eukaryota, Viridiplantae, Streptophyta, Magnoliopsida, Poales, Poaceae. The record is from Rfam.